AUUGAACGCUGGCGGCAGGCCUAACACAUGCAAGUCGAACGAGUGGCGGACGGGUGAGUAAUGUCUGGGAAACUGCCUGAUGGAGGGGGAUAACUACUGGAAACGGUAGCUAAUACCGCAUACCAUCAGAUGGGCCCAGAUGGGAUUAGCGUGUUGGUGGGGUAACGGCACACCAAGGCGACGAGCCCUAGCUGGUCUGAGAGGAGGACCAGCCACACUGGAACUGAGACACGGUCCAGACUCCUACGGGAGGCAGCAGUGGGGAAUAUUCGACAAUGGGCGAAAGUCUGACGCAGCCAUGCCGCGUGUAUGAAGAAGGUCUUCGGAUUGUAAAGUACUUUCAUCGGGGAGGCGUUACCCGCAGAGGAAGCCACGGCUAACUCCGUGCCAGCAGCCGCGGUAAUAC
RNAcentral lists this ribosomal RNA (406 nucleotides) under uncultured bacterium. RNAcentral's name for it is "partial 16S ribosomal RNA". It matches the Rfam family "Bacterial small subunit ribosomal RNA", at positions 30 to 526 of the family's 1533-position model. The record is from RNAcentral.